GUGCUUGCUUCAGCAGCACAUGUACUAAAACUGAAAUGAUACAGAGAUUAGCACAGUCCCUGCACAAUGAUGACAUGAGAGUCCAUGAAGCAUUCCAUAGUUUU
Nannospalax galili (Upper Galilee mountains blind mole rat) is the source of this 104-nucleotide small nuclear RNA. The record is from Ensembl. NCBI's taxonomy places the organism in Eukaryota, Metazoa, Chordata, Mammalia, Rodentia, Spalacidae.